AACCUAGCACACCUGCGGUGUGUACCUGCGGAGGGAUCAUUAACGAGCCGUGGGGGUCACCCCGAAAGGGGGCAGAUCUCUCACCUGGCCACCCUUGUUGUACUUUACGUAUUUUGCUUUGGUGGGCCCUGCCAUGAGGCCGCCGGGGAACCGAGUUUCCGGGCCCGUUGUCCACCAAGGUUUAACUAAAUCUGCAAGGUUUUUUGCUGUCUGAGUGGGAAAGCAUAAACGAAACAAAAC
Molecule: unclassified non-coding RNA, 240 nt
Filed under: soil metagenome
Description: partial contains 5.8S ribosomal RNA, internal transcribed spacer 2, and large subunit ribosomal RNA
Source: RNAcentral